GCGUUCGGGUAAUCGCUGGAUCUGAUUUUUCAGGUUUAGAGGAAAGUCCAUGCUCGCACGGAUCUGAGAUGACCGUAAUGAUCGUGCCUGGCCAAAAAAUAAGCCAGGGUAGAUUGGUUUGCUUGAAUAAAGCUUACUGAACUAACGGCAGGGAACGCACCUAAGUCUUAUGGAUAUGGUGUUAAUACCUUGAAAGUGCCACAGUGACGUAGUCCCGAUGGAAACAAAGGGAGUGGAACGCGGUAAACCCCACGAGCGAGAAACCCAAAUUAUGGUAGGGGAGUUUCCCAUUUCGGAAUUGAACGAUUGGGAGAACAAGAAGCCAAGGCUUUUUGUAGAUAGAUGAUUACCACCGGUGUACGAGGCUACCAGCCGUUUGUAGUACUAAGGAACAGAACAUGGCUUACAGAA
This 411-nucleotide RNase P RNA is filed under the name Fictibacillus norfolkensis. Its description in RNAcentral is "RNase P RNA component class B". It matches the Rfam family "Bacterial RNase P class B". From Rfam's summary of the family: Ribonuclease P (RNase P) is a ubiquitous endoribonuclease, found in archaea, bacteria and eukarya as well as chloroplasts and mitochondria. Its best characterised activity is the generation of mature 5'-ends of tRNAs by cleaving the 5'-leader elements of precursor-tRNAs. Cellular RNase Ps are ribonucleoproteins. The record is from RNAcentral. Lineage: Bacteria; Bacillati; Bacillota; Bacilli; Caryophanales; Fictibacillaceae.